RNAcentral lists this ribosomal RNA (467 nucleotides) under uncultured bacterium. RNAcentral's name for it is "partial 16S ribosomal RNA". It matches the Rfam family "Bacterial small subunit ribosomal RNA", at positions 28 to 507 of the family's 1533-position model. The record is from RNAcentral.
GACGAACGCUGGCGGCGUGCUUAACACAUGCAAGUCGAACGGAAAGGCCCUGCUUUUGUGGGGUGCUCGAGUGGCGAACGGGUGAGUAACACGUGAGUAACCUGCCCUUGACUUUGGGAUAACUUCAGGAAACUGGGGCUAAUACCGGAUAGGAGCUCCUGCUGCAUGGGGGGGGUUGGAAAGUUUCGGCGGUUGGGGAUGGACUCGCGGCUUAUCAGCUUGUUGGUGGGGUAGUGGCUUACCAAGGCUUUGACGGGUAGCCGGCCUGAGAGGGUGACCGGCCCCAUUGGGCCUGGGGUACGGCCCGGACUCCUACGGGCGGCAGCGGUGGGGAAUUUUGCACGAUGGGCGGAGGCCUGAUGCAGCAACGCCGCGUGCGGGAUGACGGCCUUCGGGUUGUAAACCGCUUUCGCCUGUGACGAAGCGUGAGUGACGGUAUGGGUAAAGAAGCACCGGCUAACUACGUG